Long non-coding RNA from Drosophila montana, 2425 nucleotides. RefSeq lists it as uncharacterized. NCBI's taxonomy places the organism in Eukaryota, Metazoa, Arthropoda, Insecta, Diptera, Drosophilidae. The transcript is spliced from 2 exons. The record is from RefSeq and is a predicted model, not a curated record.
AGUAAGUUGCCAUGACAGCGCUGCCACAUUAUACAACAAGUGCUCAAAAUAAUAAAGUUAACAGCACUUUAAUAGUUAGCUCGUCCCGCCCAAAGCCGGUGGCAAGUGGCAGACGCCCACAAAGAUUGGACUUGGGAGUUGUGAUACGAAUCGGCAAACGGCAACGGCAACGGCAACAUGUUGCCCGGCAACGGGGCAUAGAUGAGGGGCUUAUCCUAUCGAGCAGCAAAACUUGAGCAAUAAAAUUGCUUUUAUACUCUGGUACAUAUAGGAGUCUAUGGCAGCAUUGAAAUAUUCUUGGCAUGCUCAUUGGCAAAGCCAGCAGCAGGAGCAGCAGCAGCAGCAGCACAAGCAGUCGAGAGUCAGAUAAAUUUCUCUACUUUGAUUUUGCGCUUAAUAAAAGUCAAAUUUAAAUUCGGCUGACUACGCACGGCCACCAGCUGCCCCUUCCUCCUGCCGUUCCUGCUCCUGCUGCUGUUGCUGCAUGUGUGGAACCUGCUCCCAACAAUGGACGAAGCAGCAGCAUUUUUUAUUGCCAGCCGAUGACACGACUUCGUAGCUGGCAACACAGCUUAGGAAUGUAAUAAACUUGAAGCGGCUCCUGCCUCCACUCGGACUUUUAUGGCAUAUACAUAAAAGGAAAUUGGAGCAGAAGGGUAAGCAGCCAGCUACCCAAAUGGAAAAGUCAAAGAGUGGCCGCAGCAGUCAGCGUGGAGCGAGUGAGCGAGCGAGCGGCAGCUGGAUGGGGCAGCUAAUGAGCUCUAUGGAACAUAAGUGCGGCAUGCGGGGCGUAUGCUUAAUAUCAGCGCCAGUUGGCGCGCUGCAGCCUCAAAGCGCUUACAUAUAAAUGUGCCGGGUGAGACGCACGCCCAGAGCGCCAAGCGGAAAGUUGUGCAUAAUUCAAUUAACUAGAAACAUGCAAAUGAAAACUUUGCUGGCGACAAGGCCGCGGGCAAAAGAAGCGGGCAGCAAAAGUGCAGCCAAAGACCCAAAAAGAGUGCGACGAAAAACGCAAGGCAUUGCGGGGGUAGAGCUAAUGGUGGGGGAUGGAGCAGUGCUCUGCUGUGCUGUUGCUUUUAAUGUUGCACACAAAUUGGACAACUCUCCAAUGGAAUUGCGCAAAAAUAUUUCUAAUUAUUUCAGAGCACAGUGCCUGGCAACCAGCUCCAGCUACUCAACCGCCCCCUCAUGCCUUGCCGCCCACUCCCCCUGCUCGGUCGCAUCCUUGACUCUCCUGGUUGCUUAGUCAACUAUGCGUGUAUAUCAAAAGUAUGAAAUGCAAUAACGUAAUGAGUAAUUGCGCAAAAGUAAUAAAGGACACGGCGCACAGUUACGCAAAAAGCAGCAUACAAUCUGUUGCAGGGAUAACAAGGAUAUAGCCGGCAGCAGCAAUUAUGGAUGUGGUGGGCGGGCGGCGCAACAAAAGUUGUCAACGACAGGCAACUGGCAACUUAAAACAAAAGCCAGCCCGGGGUCAUCGUUGCCAUUUGGGGCGUGGCAUGGGCGUACGUGCAACGUGGCCACAAAAAAGUUGAAGCUUCGCUCACGCGUUGCUGCCGCGUGACUCCAAUUGCUGGCCCCGCUGCUAGUUGGCUUGGACACAGCCAGAACUGGACGGGACUCGACCGUGGAGGCGGUGGCCAACUUUUGGCUUUAGCUUUGUGGGUCUGCCUGUUCGGGGCGGGGGUUAGGUGAUGUGUGCGUCUGUAUGUGUAUGUGUGUGUGUGUGUGUGUGUGUGUGUGUGUGUGUGUGUGUGUGCGUGCCUCGUGCCAGCCAGCCAAAAAGGAUAUUAAUUUCCCAAAGGUGCCGUUUCCAGCCAGCGAAAAUCACGCAAAAUGCGCUAGGGCAAGGGGGUGUGGCAGAAGCACAGCUUCCAACAACAGCAACAACAACAACAACACGGAAUAAAAAAUAAAACUCACGCACACAGAAAUUAAAAACUUUCAAUAGCAACAAUUUUCAUUUAAAAAUUCAUCGCCAUGCGCUGGGACCGCGACAAUGUGCCCCAAAACGUGGCAAGCCUGUGAGCUGAGGAGGAAGCGUGUCGUGUUGCUGCUGUUGAUGGCCAUUGAAGCAGCAAACAAAAGUGACAAACAGAUUUAUUAAAACUGUAAAUCUGCAUUGUACGCUUAGUUUGUCUAACAACAAAUUGCAACAGAAAACAGUUUCGAACGCCAUUGAUGUGCGUCUAUAAGCGACGCAGCGCAGCCAACUUCAAGCUGAUCUCGCCACUAUUGAGAGCUCUAAAGAUAGUUCCGUUAUUUGGAGCUGAAGAGCGCGUUUCAAGCGCGUGUGACGUCACAAUUUCCAACUGUGCUUUGCUAAGCUCUCUCUUUCGCAGAUGUUUCGCAGUGUUGCCAAAUUUGAAUAUUUUUUCUGUUCCUAAAUUGUAAGUUCUUAAAUAUAAAUGCAGCAGUAUGCAAA